Molecule: non-coding RNA, 4765 nt
Organism: Chlorocebus sabaeus (green monkey)
Lineage: Eukaryota; Metazoa; Chordata; Mammalia; Primates; Cercopithecidae
Source: RefSeq, a predicted model, not a curated record
UGCCAUGAUCAUCCCCAUCCAUGUGGAGCUGUAAGUCAAAUUAAAGCUCCUUUUCUUCCCAGUCUCAGGUAUAUCUUUUUCAGCAGCACAAAAAUGGACUAAUACAUAACCAUACUGUGUAUGCAAAAUAUUACACAGCACAGAGUUUCAAUGAGACAGUGAACUUGGGAGAACAGACCAGAACAGAAAGGAAUGAGUCCUUCAUUCCCCCCCUCACUGAAGUGCUGGCAAACAACAAUAUUGCCCAAGCAAAUUGGUAGUUGAAAGAGCCUACCCUAAAUUCUGUGGGGAUGAGGUGAUGAGGUGAUGAGGCUACAUAAGGUCCUUAAGGGCAGAGAGAUCUUGAUCAUUCCAUUUGCCAUCAUUAUCCUCACUGAUACUAAUUUCUAUGUGCCAGGCACUGUUCUAAGUACUGUGUACUAACACACAGAAUUCUAAAAAUGAGAAGUUUCCUCAUCUGUUAAAUCUGCAGGUAAGGAAAUUGGGACACAGAAAAGUCAUUUUCCAAAGGUCACACAGGUGGUGAGAGGCAGAGCUGCUUACUGUGACCCUAGUGCCUAGCACAGAAGGUGCCAUAUCAGAGCUUGCUAAGUCCUUAGCUUGAUUUCUCCCAGACAUAGUAGCUAGGGAGAAAAGGUGAUGGCAAAUAAACAUACUGACCAGCCUCACCAGAGAAACGAGUGCUUAGAGAGUUAAGGUUAUACGUAUCCUCUAAUAAAGGCAGAUCAUCUCCCCGACCCGAUGGACUGUCGCUUUGGCAGAGGGAGACAGUUUGCAUCUGCAAGCCUGAGGGGUCCAGUUCCACAGGUGGACAGUGACACGAUUCUACUCAUGGCUUUGCUGUGCAGCAAAACAGUGAUUUGCCAUCAUUCCAAAGGUCCCAAAAUGUUAAAAGGCAAGACCUGAGGCAAAAAUGAAACUCACAGGAAGGGAGGGCCUGUCAUGGCACCAUAAUAGGUCACUGUCCUAGAGGACAAAUUUCAAAUCAGUAAAUGAUCCUUGGUGCCUCCAGGUGUCAGCUGUAUGCCCACCUGCCCAGGUGCUGCUACAUGGAGCAUUAGUAGUGACUGUUUGUGCAGGGGCAGGCUGAGCCUGAGCAAGCAUCACCACAGAUGCACCUCAGAGAGGGGGCAGUGGGCUCCAGAAGCCAGUGUGGGCAUGUGCUUCCUAUUCCAGCCUCUUUGGAUGGUGUUUUCUCCCCACCUCCCUUCCCAGCCCACUUGCUCACAUACCAUCAGAUGCUUUCUCUGGGCACAGUAAGAUUGGCUGGCCUUCGAAGAGGUCAAUAACUCUACACUUCCUAAAAGUUUUAUCUAAACAGUCACCAAUAGUUCUGGCCAAUAUUUGAUGCAAAUCUGAUGUGUGGGGUAGGUCUUUGACCAAGGCUGUAGGGAUGCGGUAAGGAGCAAAACAUUUUCAUUCAGUUCUCAACCCGACAAGAGAAAUACUGUUGAGACCAACUUUACACCUGAAAACUGGGGCAUGGAGCAAUAAAGAAAUUUGUGUAAGGCUACAACUAGUAAAUGGUAGAGACAGAAUCGGAGUCCAGGUUGGCCUGGACCACACGAGGCCUCCAUGAAGAGAAAAGACACUGGCCUGACUUCAGUGGUGGCAAGCAGAUGUCUCACUAAGCCAUCCCUCUAACCUGAGAAGUGGUAGCAUAAGGCUGAGGAGGGGGGAGAGGGGACACAACAGCUGUGCCAGUUAGUGGUGGAUUAAAGCACUGAACCAGAAGUACCUGGGAUAAAGCAUGGAUACCAGUUGCCUUGGACUUGACCACAUUUCGAGUCCACUGUAGGGUUCAAGAGAUCUACUGGCUCCGGGUUUCACACAGGUCUGCCUUGCUGAUAAAUGUUUUGGAGUUUUUGUGUAUUUGGCUGGAAAUAAGCAAAAAAUAAAUGAGCCAAACCCCUUAUUGUAUAAACCAGAAAAUCCUGGAGACUUAGUCUGGGGGGCUCAGGAUGAGAAAGCAAAUUGUGGCCUCUGAAUGCCGCUCCCGUGGAUGCCAGCACCUCUUGUUCCUGAGUUAACACCAGAGCUGGAUGGAGGCUGGUGAGCUUGGGGUCUUGGGGGCCAUGGGGUCCUAGAGUGGGCUCUCCUGGGAGCCUUUCUGCUCCUCAGAUAGAGUGGGGUCUCCUGCCUUGGGGCUUCCAUUGUAGCCCUGCACGCUGGCCUUUUUUCGUAACUGAAGCUGUAUCCAUCCUGGGGAUGUGGGUACCCUAAGGGCAGGGCAGGCCUCUCCCCAGUGCCUGGCACUGGGCCAGAACCCUAAGGGCAGCUCCACACUGUGAGUAGGGGCCUGAGCCCAGACUGCAGAAGGACAAGACAAAGGCAGGCCCGGCAGGCAGCCUGGCAGCCACAGGAGAGCUCCGGAUACCCUCCAGCACUGGCAGGGCAGCUGUUAAGCCCUGGCUCCAUGGGCACAUAUCAGCGCCAGUCCCCGCAGCCCCCUUCCUUGGGGUCCAGCACUCCGACCUGGCCAACCCACAGCCAGAGCACGCUGGGCAGAGCUUCUUGCCAAGGAAGGCUCUUGCCAUUUCUAAGCAGGUGCUCUGGCUCUGUAGGAAAGAGGGAAGCUUCUCUGUGGAUAUGUGGGGGAGGGAGGGAGAAAGGGAAGGCCUGUUCAUGCAGGUGGCAGCAGGGCGUUUUGAGUCGCUCCAGAACUAGCCUGGGGACUUGGGGUGGGAAAUGGGUUGGGCAGAUGGAGUAGAGAAGUCCACUUGUUGCCAGGUAAGUUUGGUGGAGGAUAAACAAGCAAUUCUGCCUAAAGAGUCACAGUAAAGAGCCCUUGGUACAAGAUCCUAUGGGAUCUAAGGGGAGGAGCCGAAGUCAGCAUGCAGUAUUGGGAAUGCUUCCAGAGACAGACACCUCUAAUAUUUUUGAAGGCUGCCACGGGGUCUGUGGGUGGACAGGGAAAGGGCAUUCCAACCAAGACACAUGCAUAAGCAUGAGAGAGUAGGUGGGUGCAUGGAUGGGUGAAGUUGGGGCUGGUGAGAUCCAGGAGCCAACAAACAAAGCUCCUGCCAGUAAUACCCACAUGAGAAUCCUGUGCCCAGAGGCAGUUUGGAGGACUAAGAAGUCCACAGUUGCGUCACUGCCUUCCUCUCCUGGGUCCUAAGCCUCUUCUUGGCACCUCCAGAAAAGGUGAAAACAAACGGCUGCCCAGGACACCUAUCUAGGGUGGAGGCCUCUUCCCCACUACCCCAGGGGCCAGGCCAUGGCCCUGAGGUUUCUUCUGUCCCCCUGCAGAACAGCACCAUAACCCACCUUAAAUUACAACUCGGUACAUACCCACAGAAGCAGCAUUUCUCAAAACCUAAGCUACCCUCGGCUUGUAUAAAGCACUCUAAUUUUUAUUUUCUAUCCUGUCCUUUUUUUUUUUUUUUCAAUGCUUGUCUCAACCCACAAAAUUGCUUUUAUAACCCAUGAGUGAAUUGUACCUGCAGUUUGGAAACACUGCCCUGGAAAGGCAUCUGCCUGCUCUUCUCCAGCCCCUCUUCCUGGAAGGAACACCGAAAUGAGGGCGCCUGCGUCCUGGUGAAGUGUUGGAGGCUGGGGUAGCCUUUCACCAGGAGUGGGACCCGGAGGUGAGGCCAGCUCUCAGACAUCAACCAAAGGACCCACUGCAUCUCCCUCCUUCGCCUGCCAACAAAGGUUCAAGUAGAUGUUGACACCCCCUCAGACAUGGAAGGAGAUCCAUGUUUUUCUUUUUCUAGUUCUGCACAAAUGGCCUUAAACAAAAUACGCAAACAGGUUCCUUGCCUCUCCCGAAGGCAGCCCACCACAGAAGCCCUGCCACAGCCCAAGAGGUUAGAUGCUGCCAGGAUCUGUUUCCGCCACAGAGCAGCUCUGUGCAGCACAUUCCUGCCAACCACCCCAAGUGCUUCAGGGCUUCCGAGGCAGUGACAGUGAGGGCAGCGGCACUUCUGGGUCACCGUGGGACAGGUCUCUGCCUCAAGACACGGAUUGACAAGCUCUCUGAGUGGGCCAGGAGCUCCUUAAUGUGAGCCAAGCCCAGCCCUGCCACCUUGGCCCCAUUCAUCUCCAGGAUCUCGUCGCCCACCCCCAGCAGCCCUGAGUACAGCUUGGCCGUGCUCAUGUCAGCCAUCUCCUGCACGUAGAUCCCUGCAAAGGAAAACGGGAGAAUUUCACAAUGACACCCAAAUCGAAGAAGUGCAUCUCUGGAACGCUGACCAUGUUGGUGAGGUGCUGUUUGUGUGGCACAGGGAGGAGGUGCUCAUAGCGGGCACUUCUCUUCACACAUGCACACACACACACACACACAUACCCCUCAUUAUUCCACCUCACAGCCGCAGCUGGCUUUAGACAGUGCGCCUCCUCCACAGUCUAACUUCAUUCCACUGUCUCUGCUUGUAAAGUGGAAAUGCUCCUAGUGCAAAUAACGCGUUAAAUUGUUGUUAUUUGUUUAUACCUGACUGUGAGUGAGCUAAUCUUUUUCUGAGAUGAGCUUUGCUUGUAGAAUAGGAAGGAAAUAGUUUUUAAAAAUUAGGAACCAUACCUCCUCGGUGCCUGGCACUAUGAUCCAGUUGCUGCCUCACGUCGCCCAGGCCCAGCAGAAAGGCCGGGGUGGUGGGAAGGUAUCAUCGGAAAAGCAAAAGUGGCUGAGCCACAUCCAAGCCUGGUUUGCUGCACUCUAUUGCCAAAGAGUGACCCUGGCCUCAGUCUUACUCAGAUAUGGUUCCUCAAUUGGGAUGGGAAAACAUCUGAGCAAAAAAACCCAGGAAAAAUAAAAAUUCUAGCCACA